This 465-nucleotide ribosomal RNA is filed under the name uncultured Rahnella sp. RNAcentral's name for it is "bacterial SSU rRNA". It matches the Rfam family "Bacterial small subunit ribosomal RNA", at positions 338 to 795 of the family's 1533-position model. Lineage: Bacteria; Pseudomonadati; Pseudomonadota; Gammaproteobacteria; Enterobacterales; Yersiniaceae. The record is from RNAcentral.
CCUACGGGGGGCAGCAGUGGGGAAUAUUGCACAAUGGGCGCAAGCCUGAUGCAGCCAUGCCGCGUGUGUGAAGAAGGCCUUAGGGUUGUAAAGCACUUUCAGCGAGGAGGAAGGCAUCACACUUAAUACGUGUGGUGAUUGACGUUACUCGCAGAAGAAGCACCGGCUAACUCCGUGCCAGCAGCCGCGGUAAUACGGAGGGGGCAAGAGAUAAACGGAGUUACUGGGCGUAAAGCGCACGCAGGCGGUUUGGUAAGUCAGAGGUGAAAUCCCCGUGCUUAAAGUGGGAACGUCAUGUGAAACUGGCAAGCUGGAGUCGUGGAGAGGUGGGUAGAAUUCCAGGUGUAGAGGUGAAGUGCGUAGAGAUCUGGAGGAAUACCGGUGGCGAAGGCGGCCCCCUGGACAAAGACUGACGCUCAGGUGCGAAAGCGUGGGGAGCAAACAGGAUUAGAUACCCGGGUAGUC